GGACCCGCACAAGCGGUGGAGUAUGUGGCUUAAUUCGAUGCAACGCGAAGAACCUUACCAAGGCUUGACAUGCAUUUCUAAUCGCGUGAAAGCGCGUGACCCUUCGGGGGACUUGCACAGGUGCUGCAUGGCCGUCGUCAGCUCGUGUCGUGAGAUGUUGGGUUAAGUCCCGCAACGAGCGCAACCCUUGUGAUUAGUUGCCAGCACGUUAAGGUGGGAACUCUAGUCAGACUGCCCAGAUCAACUGGGAGGAAGGUGGGGACGACGUCAGGUCAGUAUGGCCCUUACGCCUUGGGCUGCACACGUACUACAAUGCCCGGCACAAUGAGAACCGAUACCGCGAGGUGGAGGAAAUCUAAGAAAACCGGGCCCAGUUCGGAUUGGAGGCUGCAACCCGCCUCCAUGAAGUCGGAAUCGCUAGUAAUGGCGCAUCAGCUACGGCGCCGUGAAUACGUUCCCGGGUCUU
RNAcentral lists this ribosomal RNA (466 nucleotides) under uncultured bacterium. RNAcentral's name for it is "bacterial SSU rRNA". It matches the Rfam family "Bacterial small subunit ribosomal RNA", at positions 917 to 1382 of the family's 1533-position model. The record is from RNAcentral.